RNAcentral lists this ribosomal RNA (690 nucleotides) under uncultured bacterium. Its description in RNAcentral is "bacterial SSU rRNA". It matches the Rfam family "Bacterial small subunit ribosomal RNA", at positions 141 to 851 of the family's 1533-position model. The record is from RNAcentral.
GGAUAACAUACCGAAAGGUAUGCUAAUACGGGAUAAUAUAUUUGAGAGGCAUCCCUUAAAUAUCAAAGGUGAGCCAGUACAGGAUGGACCCGCGUCUGAUUAGCUAGUUGGUAAGGUAACGGCUUACCAAGGCGACGAUCAGUAGCCGACCUGAGAGGGUGAUCGGCCACAUUGGAACUGAGACACGGUCCAAACUCCUACGGGAGGCAGCAAUGGGGAAUAUUGCACAAUGGGCGAAAGCCUGAUGCAGCAACGCCGCGUGAGUGAUGAAGGCCUUCGGGUCGUAAAACUCUGUCCUCAAGGAAGAUAAUGACGGUACUUGAGGAGGAAGCCCCGGCUAACUACGUGCCAGCAGCCGCGGUAAUACGUAGGGGGCUAGCGUUAUCCGGAUUUACUGGGCGUAAAGGGUGCGUAGGCGGUCUUUCAAGUCAGGAGUGAAAGGCUACGGCUCAACCGUAGUAAGCUCUUGAAACUGGGAGACUUGAGUGCAGGAGAGGAGAGUGGAAUUCCUAGUGUAGCGGUGAAAUGCGUAGAUAUUAGGAGGAACACCAGUUGCGAAGGCGGCUCUCUGGACUGUAACUGACGCUGAGGCACGAAAGCGUGGGGAGCAAACAGGAUUAGAUACCCUGGUAGUCCACGCUGUAAACGAUGAGUACUAGGUGUCGGGGGUUACCCCCUUCGGUGCCGCAG